RNAcentral lists this ribosomal RNA (429 nucleotides) under Bacteroidota bacterium. Its description in RNAcentral is "Bacteroidetes bacterium partial 16S ribosomal RNA". It matches the Rfam family "Bacterial small subunit ribosomal RNA", at positions 355 to 776 of the family's 1533-position model. The record is from RNAcentral. Lineage: Bacteria; Pseudomonadati; Bacteroidota.
UAGGGAAUCUUCGGCAAUGGGGGGAACCCUGACCGAGCAACGCCGCGUGAGUGAAGAAGGUUUUCGGAUCGUAAAGCUCUGUUGUUAAGGAAGAACGGGUGUGAGAAUGGAAAGUUCAUACUGUGACGGUACUUAACCAGAAAGGGACGGCUAACUACGUGCCAGCAGCCGCGGUAAUACGUAGGUCCCGAGCGUUGUCCGGAUUUAUUGGGCGUAAAGCGAGCGCAGGCGGUUAGAUAAGUCUGAAGUUAAAGGCAGUGGCUCAACCAUUGUAGGCUUUGGAAACUGUUUAACUUGAGUGCAGAAGGGGAGAGUGGAAUUCCAUGUGUAGCGGUGAAAUGCGUAGAUAUAUGGAGGAACACCGGUGGCGAAAGCGGCUCUCUGGUCUGUAACUGGCGCUGAGGCUCGAAAGCGUGGGGAGCGAACAGG